This 319-nucleotide ribosomal RNA is filed under the name uncultured bacterium. RNAcentral's name for it is "bacterial SSU rRNA". It matches the Rfam family "Bacterial small subunit ribosomal RNA", at positions 150 to 502 of the family's 1533-position model. The record is from RNAcentral.
GAGGAAACUUGUGCUAAUACCGGAUAAGUCUUUACGGAGAAAGCUUUAUGCACCAUUGGAUGAGCCUGCACUUGAUUAGUUUGUUGGUAGGGUAAUGGCCUACCAAGACUAUGAUCAAUAGCUGAUUUGAGAGGAUGAUCAGCCACAUUGGGACUGAGACACGGCCCAAACUCCUACGGGAGGCAGCAGUGGGGAAUCUUGCACAAUGGAGGAAACUCUGAUGCAGCGAUGCCGCGUGAGUGAAGAAGGCCCUUGGGUUGUAAAGCUCUUUCGUCGGGGAAGAAAAUGACUGUACCCGAAUAAGAAGGUCCGGCUAACU